GAACGCGAAGAACCUUACCAGGUCUUGACAUCCUCUGACCGCUCUAGAGAUAGAGUUUUCCCUUCGGGACAGAGGUGACAGGUGGUGCAUGGUUGUCGUCAGCUCGUGUCGUGAGAUGUUGGGUUAAGUCCCGCAACGAGCGCAACCCUUAUUACUAGUUGCCAGCAUUGAGUUGGGCACUCUAGUGAGACUGCCGGUGACAAACCGGAGGAAGGUGGGGAUGACGUCAAAUCAUCAUGCCCCUUAUGACUUGGGCUACACACGUGCUACAAUGGAUGGUACAACGAGCAGCGAACUCGCGAGGGUAAGCGAAUCUCUUAAAGCCAUUCUCAGUUCGGAUUGUAGGCUGCAACUCGCCUACAUGAAGCCAGAAUCGCUAGUAAUCGCGGAUCAGCACGCCGCCGGUGAAUACGUUCCCGGGUCUUGUACACACC
This 434-nucleotide ribosomal RNA is filed under the name uncultured bacterium. Its description in RNAcentral is "bacterial SSU rRNA". It matches the Rfam family "Bacterial small subunit ribosomal RNA", at positions 957 to 1391 of the family's 1533-position model. The record is from RNAcentral.